RNAcentral lists this microRNA (22 nucleotides) under Danio rerio (zebrafish). RNAcentral's name for it is "dre-miR-181a-3-3p". Its record names the gene dre-miR-181a-3-3p. Lineage: Eukaryota; Metazoa; Chordata; Actinopteri; Cypriniformes; Danionidae. The record is from miRBase by way of RNAcentral. RNAcentral also lists the same sequence under 1 other name.
ACCAUCGAGUGUUGAGUGUACC